UGGGGAAUCUUGCACAAUGGGGGCAACCCUGAUGCAGCGACGCCGCGUGAGCGAUGAAGGUUUUCGAAUCGUAAAGCUCUGUCCUAUGGGAAGAUAAUGACGGUACCAUAGGAGGAAGCCCCGGCUAACUACGUGCCAGCAGCCGCGGUAAUACGUAGGGGGCGAGCGUUGUCCGGAAUUACUGGGCGUAAAGGGUUCGCAGGCGGCAUGGCAAGUCCGAUGUAAAAGGCGAAGGCUCAACCUUCGUAAGCAUCGGAAACUGUCAAGCUUGAGUGAAGGAGAGGCAAGUGGAAUUCCUAGGGUAGCGGUGGAAUGCGUAGAUAUUAGGAGGAAUACCGGUGGCGAAGGCGACUUGCUGGACUUCAACUGACGCUGAGGAACGAAAGCGUGGGUAGCAAACAGG
Molecule: ribosomal RNA, 403 nt
Filed under: Verrucomicrobiota bacterium
Lineage: Bacteria; Pseudomonadati; Verrucomicrobiota
Description: Verrucomicrobia bacterium partial 16S ribosomal RNA
Rfam family: Bacterial small subunit ribosomal RNA
Source: RNAcentral